Molecule: ribosomal RNA, 393 nt
Filed under: uncultured bacterium
Lineage: Bacteria
Description: partial 16S ribosomal RNA
Rfam family: Bacterial small subunit ribosomal RNA
Source: RNAcentral
AUACGGAAGGUCCGGGCGUUAUCCGGAUUUAUUGGGUUUAAAGGGAGCGCAGGCGGAGAUGCAAGCGUGACGUCAAAUUUCGGGGCUCAACCCCGUCUCGCGUCGCGAACUGCGUCCCUUGGUUGCGGGAAGGGGAGGCGGAACUCGUGGUGUAGCGGUGAAAUGCAUAGAUAUCACGAAGAACUCCGAUCGCGAAGGCAGCCUUCCGGCCCGUCGACGACGCUCAUGCUCGAAGGUGCGGGUAUCAAACAGGAUUAGAUACCCUGGUAGUCCGCACAGUAAACGAUGGACACCCGCGGUUUGGCCUGUAUGGCUGAGCCGCCAAGCGAAAGCGUUAAGUGUCCCACCUGGGGAGUACGCCGGCAACGGUGAAACUCAAAGGAAUUGACGGGG